Peromyscus eremicus (cactus mouse) is the source of this 542-nucleotide long non-coding RNA. RefSeq lists it as uncharacterized. The transcript is spliced from 3 exons. Lineage: Eukaryota; Metazoa; Chordata; Mammalia; Rodentia; Cricetidae. The record is from RefSeq and is a predicted model, not a curated record.
CUCUAAGGAAAGUAGGUGUAUGGAAAGGAUGAGGGGGUAACUACUUUGGAUUAUGACUGCUGAGAAAGAUGCACUGAUACCACUCAGAAUCUGUGUUCAUUUUCAAUAGGUCCAGGUAUGAGAAACUCCUUACCCAGCUGUGAUGCCAAGGAUCCACAACAAUGAUCACCACAGCAAGACGUUCCUGAAGAAAGGCUGCACCCAUGAAAUGUCAACAAUAUGGCUGCCUAAACAAGACCUAAACACUGACAACACCAGUUUGCAUGCCAACAUGGAUGGAGGAAAUUGCAUGAGGCCCCACCACAAGAUGAAGAGCUACAGUCAACUACUGACUGUUGAGAGAGGAAGAAUCGGUUUUUCCCGGGGAUGAGCCCCCUAACUGGUUAUCCAGUACCAAGUGGUCAGCCCUAAAACAUAUAUAUGUGAGCAACACUAAACACAGCAAGUUGCAUUCAUAUAUUCAUUCAUAUAUGUGUAUGUAUAAUGAUAAUAAUUAAAUAAAAAGAGGGCAUGGAUUUUUUUGCAGGGGGCACAUAGAGUGA